GGAGGGGCCGCGCGCGGGGCCGAGAGGAAAGCUGGCUCCGGGGUUUCUCUGGAAACCCCCCUGGUAAGUGUGGAGGAGGCGGGACACUCUGACCCAAGACGAAAGGCCUGUAGCUCCAGCCAAAGAAAAUAAACCUUAGGAAGGAGAAGGAAAAAAAAAAAUCCAUCAGCUGUUCCUGAGAACAGCCUGCAUUGGAACCUACAGAGAGGACAACUAAUGUGAGUGAGGAAGUGACUGUAUGUGGACUGUGGAGACAGUAAGUCACGUGGGCCCUUGAGGGCCUGGACUGGGUUAGGAACAGUUGUACUUUCAGAGGUGAGGUGUCAAGAAGGGAAAGUGAAUGUGGUCUGGAGUGUGUCCUUGGCCUUGGCUCCACAGGGUGUGCUUUCCUCUGGGGCCAUCAGGGAGCUCAGCCCUUGUGUUCUGCCAGGGUGGGGUACGGGGUUUGACACUGAGGAGGGUAACCUGCUGGCUGGAG
Molecule: small RNA, 478 nt
Filed under: Pongo abelii (Sumatran orangutan)
Lineage: Eukaryota; Metazoa; Chordata; Mammalia; Primates; Hominidae
Description: processed transcript
Source: RNAcentral